RNAcentral lists this ribosomal RNA (497 nucleotides) under uncultured bacterium. RNAcentral's name for it is "partial 16S ribosomal RNA". It matches the Rfam family "Bacterial small subunit ribosomal RNA", at positions 28 to 507 of the family's 1533-position model. The record is from RNAcentral.
GAUGAACGCUGGCGGCGUGCCUAAUACAUGCAAGUCGAGCGAACAGACGAGGAGCUUGCUCCUCUGACGUUAGCGGCGGACGGGUGAGUAACACGUGGAUAACCUACCUAUAAGACUGGGAUAACUUCGGGAAACCGGAGCUAAUACCGGAUAAUAUAUUGAACCGCAUGGUUCAAUAGUGAAAGACGGUUUUGCUGUCACUUAUAGAUGGAUCCGCGCCGCAUUAGCUAGUUGGUAAGGUAACGGCUUACCAAGGCAACGAUGCGUAGCCGACCUGAGAGGGUGAUCGGCCACACUGGAACUGAGACACGGUCCAGUCUCCGACGGGAGGCAGCAGUAGGGAAUCGUCCGCAAUGGGCGAAAGCCUGACGGAGCAACGCCGCGUGAGUGAUGAAGGUCUUCGGAUCGUAAAACUCUGUUAUUAGGGAAGAACAAAUGUGUAAGUAACUAUGCACGUCUUGACGGUACCUAAUCAGAAAGCCACGGCUAACUACGUG